CCUACGGGAGGCAGCAGUGGGGAAUAUUGGACAAUGGGGGGAACCCUGAUCCAGCGACGCCGCGUGAGUGAAGAAGUAUUUCGGUAUGUUAAGCUCUAUCAGCAGGGAAGAAAAUGACGGUACCUGACUAAGAAGCCCCGGCUAACUACGUGCCAGCAGCCGCGGUAAUACGUAGGGGGCAAGCGUUAUCCGGAUUUACGGGGUGUAAAGGGAGCGUAGACGGUGCAGCAAGUCUGAUGUGAAAGGUCGGGGCCCAACCCCGGGACUGCAUUGGAAACUGUUGAACUGGAGUACAGGAGAGGUAAGCGGAAUUCCUAGUGUAGCGGUGAAAUGCGUAGAUAUUAGGAGGAACACCAGUGGCGAAGGCAGCCUGCCGCAGCGUUACUGACGCUGAAGCUCGAAAGCGCGGGUAUCGAACAGGAUUAGAUACCCGGGUAGUC
RNAcentral lists this ribosomal RNA (440 nucleotides) under uncultured bacterium. RNAcentral describes it as "partial 16S ribosomal RNA". It matches the Rfam family "Bacterial small subunit ribosomal RNA", at positions 338 to 795 of the family's 1533-position model. The record is from RNAcentral.